Molecule: ribosomal RNA, 484 nt
Filed under: uncultured bacterium
Lineage: Bacteria
Description: partial 16S ribosomal RNA
Rfam family: Bacterial small subunit ribosomal RNA
Source: RNAcentral
AGUGAACGCUGGCGGCAGGCCUAACACAUGCAAGUCGAGCGGCAGCGGGUCCUUCGGGAUGCCGGCGAGCGGCGGACGGGUGAGGAAUGCGUCGGAAUCUGCCUUUUUGUGGGGGAUAACGUAGGGAAACUUACGCUAAUACCGCAUACGACCUACGGGUGAAAGUGGGGGACCACAAGGCCUCACGCAGAAAGAUGAGCCGACGUCGGAUUAGCUAGUUGGCGGGGUAAAGGCCCACCAAGGCGACGAUCCGUAGCUGGUCUGAGAGGAUGAUCAGCCACACUGGAACUGAGACACGGUCCAGACUCCUACGGGAGGCAGCAGUGGGGAAUAUUGGACAAUGGGCGCAAGCCUGAUCCAGCCAUGCCGCGUGUGUGAAGAAGGCCUUCGGGUUGUAAAGCACUUUUGUCCGGAAAGAAAUCCUGUCGGCUAAUACCCGGCGGGGAUGACGGUACCGGAAGAAUAAGCACCGGCUAACUUCGUG